Otolemur garnettii (small-eared galago) is the source of this 34-nucleotide non-coding RNA. The record is from Rfam. Lineage: Eukaryota; Metazoa; Chordata; Mammalia; Primates; Galagidae.
CUUGUCUUGCAUCAACAGUGUUUGGACAGAACAG